This 253-nucleotide ribosomal RNA is filed under the name uncultured bacterium. RNAcentral describes it as "partial 16S ribosomal RNA". It matches the Rfam family "Bacterial small subunit ribosomal RNA", at positions 524 to 776 of the family's 1533-position model. The record is from RNAcentral.
UACGUAGGGGGCGAGCGUUGUCCGGAUUUAUUGGGCGUAAAGAGCGUGUAGGCGGCCAGGUAGGUCCGUUGUGAAAACUCGAGGCUCAACCUCGAGACGUCGGCGGAAACCCUCUGGCUAGAGUCCGGAAGAGGAGAGUGGAAUUCCUGGUGUAGCGGUGAAAUGCGCAGAUAUCAGGAAGAACACCCGUGGCGAAGGCGGCUCACUGGCCCGGUACUGACGCUGAGGUGCGAAAGCGUGGGGAGCAAACAGG